CAUGAAUGGAUCUUUAAGUCUGCUACAUUGAGGCACUGAGGGUAGAAGAGCAUGUCGUCAACUUCUGGUCUCAGAUCAGUUCAACUGCUCUAAUCCUAAUCUUAACCAACAUGGGAUGAAAAGCAAAAAACCUUAUAUCCAUGAGGGUUGAAAGAUUCUGGCAACUUUCUCAAGUUUUUAAGAAAUCCUGGUUGGAGAAUUGCGGAAUUCCUGCUUAUUCCCUCCUGAUCCUGGGAAUCUUCCACCCUGGAAAACUUGGAAACCUGGAGGUCUGGAAAACCCAUUCUCACACAUAAACCCAUUCUCACUAAAACAACUGGUCCAGCUAGACUUGGGAGGAGCAUGACCAUUAGACGAACAGAGGGUGAGCAGAGGAGACCAGCGAUGACAUCCAUAGAAAUAUACACUUGGAAGCCUCAAAACACCAAUACCAGGCAGGCGCUUGAGUGAAACCCACAAGACAAAAGAAAGGUUGGCUGCCCAAAGAAGACAUUGAGAAGGACGAAUGAGGAAGAGAUAAAGAAGGCAGGAACCACCUGGAAUGAGGUCAAGAAAACCGCAAAGAACAGAGUUUGCUGAAUAUGCACCGUUCAGGAUCUUUGGAGCUGAAAGGAAUAAAUAGAUUUGUGUGUUUCAGCUUGUGACCAUGGCAUUCUCCCUUGAUCUCUUGGAUGACCUGGAGCAGAAUCAGAAGAGCUGCCGCAAUGAUUGGGUGCUGGAGCAAGACAGGGGGAUAAAAAGAGCACACAUCCCAGGCCCCGCAAAGCAUUGUCAAACAACAAGGAUGUUACUGAGGUCACACUAGACCCAAACACAGCAAACAUAAAUAUCUCACUGACUGAGGAGAACAGAAAGGGGACAUGGGUGGAAGAGGAACAGCCAUAUCAUGAUGGCCCAGAGAGAUUUGAGGAUAUGUCACAGGUGCUGUGUAGAGAGCCUCUUACCAAAUGCCAUUACUGGGAGGCAGAUUUGAUUGGGGAGUGUGAUAUAGGAAUGUCAUAUAAAAUUAUCAGCAGGUGAAGAGAUGAAAAGGAUUGUAAACUGGGAAGCAAUGACAAGUCUUGGUCUCUAUACUUUGAAGAAGAAAACUGUUACCUUGCCUUCCACAAUAAUACGGAGAUUAAUAUUCUUGACCCAACCCCCAGACCCGAACCCCAGAG
This 1160-nucleotide long non-coding RNA is filed under the name Salmo salar (Atlantic salmon). Its description in RNAcentral is "lncRNA (ENSSSAG00000095648.1)". The record is from RNAcentral. Lineage: Eukaryota; Metazoa; Chordata; Actinopteri; Salmoniformes; Salmonidae.